GUGGCACUGUUACUGAGAGGGGCCUCACCCUACCUCACUACCACACCCAUCACACACACACACACACACACACACACACACACACACACACACAUCCAUUAUUUUAGUAUAAUAAUCAGUUAAAUCCGUUACAAUGUGAAGGACCAGACCUUUGUGUGUGUUUUAAACAAUGCGCUGACCAUAUUAAUGAACAAUAAAAUAUUAUAAAACUGUCUUUACAAAACCCCAAGCUAGUAGUCAACUGAUCCUCAUCUAUGAAAUGAGUCAUAACAUCAUUUCUUUGAUACUGUGGUUUAUAACACAUUUAAUAGCUUUAGUCAGUCUCGUGAACCGGAGGCUGAAUUCAAAAUGUGAACAAUAGUUUCAUUCAUAAGAACAUUUUUAUCAGUCUCUCAAAACAGUCCAAAACACAGCUUUUCAUUUCAGAGCAACACAAAUUUUGUGUUAAGAUAUUAAACAUGACUUUAUACUAAACUAAAAUUUGAGUUUAUGGAACUUAAAACAUUUGCUUCCUUUGAUUUAUUAGAAGAUAAAUAUAUGGUUUUCAGAUAAUUUUUACUCUCGUUAAUUUACUCUUAAGUUAAAGGGAGUCAAAUGUUUGUGCUGCUCCUACUUUUCCAUUUUUUCCCGGUUUAUAAAUGAGCAUGUCCUCAAGAGCUGUACCGGGAAUAACAUGUCGCAGUUAAAUAUGAAUAGUUGACUAUAUUUUAUUGAGGUGCCAGUAUUUGAACAGGGUUCAACAGGAUCUUCAGAGGAGCGUCAUGGGAGGGAUCCCUCUCCAAGGAGGACAGGAGUGCGAUAGAUGUCACGUAUAGCUGAACACAUCAGUAGGAAGUUGAUAGGCUCUCUAUAGACAGUCUCUGGUCACCAUUGUUUUAUUUUUAAUCCAAGAGACCAUUUGACACCUCAGAGACACAUGUUUAAAAAGACAUAACAGUCUUCUUCAUUAUAUUUAAAAACCAGGUCAUCGAUUUAAAGCAUAAAAACUCAUCUUUGCUGUGGAAAGAACCAUAUUUUCAUUUCGGUUUUUAUUGAAAAAAUAUCCCUUAAUGGACAUUAAUGUAUUGCACCAACGUGAACAGCCAAACAACGUUUUAUAUGAAUAAUUAAAAACACAGUUACUUAACAUGAUGACGAUUUAUGAAGAGGAAGAAGAAGAUGUGGUAGAUAUGACCGAAGAGUUGCAUUUACAACUUCACAAGAGGUUGUUAACAAUGGACUGUUUGCAAAUGUCACACUUAUUAAAAAUUAUUUACAACGAUGUCAGUUUAGUAUACAUCCAUUUUAUUUGGAGCCCCAGGAAUGGGAGUGAUUGUGUUCCAGAGCAGAUUAAGGGUUUCCAUGGUGAUCAACCUCGUGAAAAGUUAUCUUGUUUUGUGAUACCCACAAAGUAAAUCCCACAGAGAGUUGGAUAAGACACUGGUCUGGCCUCAGUCGUCUGUUCAGGAGCAAAGGAAGUCAAAUCAUCUUUAUGGUCCAUUUAGAUGAAUCUACAACAACACAAAAAUAAGUUAAUUUUAGCCCUAAUACAUAAUUAUAGAACAAAUACUCAAAUGAGCAUGAUGGUGUGUUGUCUGUAGUUUGUUUAUGGCCCAGUAAACAGCUCAACAAUACAGGGUGAGCAGUCAUUUCUGCUUUAAGUGGAUAGUGAACAUGGUCAUAACACACUGUAUAGACCAGGGGUGGGCAAACUUUUAGAUUCGCGGGCCACAAUGAGUUCUAAAAUUUGACAGAGGGGCCGGGCCAGGACCAGAUGGAUGGAGUUUUUUUGUGAACUAAUAUAAAUGACAUGGAAAAAUCAUUACAUGAAAGGAUUUGGCCUUUAACAAGUAGCAAAGCAUUUAUUAGCAAGGCAAUUUAACAAAAACUCGCCUUCGGAGAAAGGCUUGCUAGCCUUUGCUAUUUCGAAUGCAACCAAAAAACUUGCCUUGGUAGUUGACUCUUGAAUCGCAGUUUGUUGGUGAAAAAAAUGUUGCUGAGUCUGUAAAUGAGCCGCCAACCUCUGAGCCGUAGCCGCCCGUUCUUGCGUUGACUGCUUGCUAGCGUAGUUAGCAUGCUUCGUAGCAAAGUGACGGCUGAUUAUUUUGUUGUCCACUCCGUGUUAAACACUCGGCACUCAUUGUCCACCUUUCGUUUCCUUGAUCCGGUCAUUUUACAGAAGGGCUCACAGGGCAAAGCGAAAAAGUGAAGGGAGAUCAUG
Molecule: long non-coding RNA, 2200 nt
Organism: Pleuronectes platessa (European plaice)
Lineage: Eukaryota; Metazoa; Chordata; Actinopteri; Pleuronectiformes; Pleuronectidae
Exons: 2
Source: RefSeq, a predicted model, not a curated record